UGGGGAAUUUUGGACGAAUUGGGGGCAACCGUGAUCCAGCAAUGCCGCGUGUGUGAAGAAGGCCUUCGGGUUGUAAAGCACUUUUGUCCGGAAAGAAAACGCCGUGGUUAAUACCCGUGGCGGAUGACGGUACCGGAAGAAUAAGCACCGGCUAACUACGUGCCAGCAGCCGCGGUAAUACGUAGGGUGCAAGCAUUAAUCGGAAUUACUGGGCGUAAAGCGUGCGCAGGCGGUCCGCUAAGACAGAUGUGAAAUCCCCGGGCUUAACCUGGGAACUGCAUUUGUGACUGGCGGGCUAGAGUAUGGCAGAGGGGGGUAGAAUUCCACGUGUAGCAGUGAAAUGCGUAGAGAUGUGGAGGAAUACCGAUGGCGAAGGCAGCCCCCUGGGCCAAUACUGACGCUC
Molecule: ribosomal RNA, 403 nt
Filed under: uncultured bacterium
Lineage: Bacteria
Description: partial 16S ribosomal RNA
Rfam family: Bacterial small subunit ribosomal RNA
Source: RNAcentral